UCUUUCUGCAUCUGAACCUUUUC
RNAcentral lists this microRNA (23 nucleotides) under Ornithorhynchus anatinus (platypus). RNAcentral describes it as "oan-miR-1336". Lineage: Eukaryota; Metazoa; Chordata; Mammalia; Monotremata; Ornithorhynchidae. The record is from miRBase by way of RNAcentral.